This 2398-nucleotide long non-coding RNA is filed under the name Helianthus annuus (common sunflower). Its description in RNAcentral is "hypothetical non coding rna". The record is from RNAcentral. Lineage: Eukaryota; Viridiplantae; Streptophyta; Magnoliopsida; Asterales; Asteraceae.
UUUGUGGGUGUGUUCCCUAUAUAACCCUCACGAGACCUACUCGUCCUCCCGAGCUAUCGGGAGGUUUAAAGGGCUUGUUGCAUACGCUAAAUGCAACCGUGAUUCCUACGAAAGUGAGUUAGGAUUGUUAUUGUUGUAAAUUAUUUUUCCACAUAAAGUUAAAGGUACAAUAAUGUAUGGCUUGGUAAUAAUUUCAUAAAAGUGGUAGAACUAGGUAACUAACAAGUUUUGAUGGUCGUGAGAAGCAUGCUUCUACACGAGGGUUAAAAUUUGUAGGUGCGCUAUGUUCGUGAGACGACCGCUUGAUUGAAAAGAUGAAGAGCACACGAGUCAACGAGGGAUGUCACAAACCAUUUGGUCUUUUGUCAUGGUCAAGUUCAAAUUAAUAAGCAUAUCGGGUAUUUAGUGGGUGGUUAUUUGAGAAUAAUUCGCCUAAGGAACUAGCAAUGUAUGCAUAUCACAUAUCAUACCCUUAUACGUGAGGAUUGAGCCAUUCUACAUCAUAGAUUCACAUUUACAUGUUUCAUUGUUGAGUGGGCCAUUAGUCGCGUAUUGUAGAACUUGCAACUUUUGAUACAUUCGAGACUAUAGACCGAAUACAAGCACGAGAAUGAUUAAGGCAUUAGGUAAACCUUUUUUCUUUUACACCAUUUGCUAACCUUUACCCAAAUAAAUCCCCUAGUCGCCCACUUCGAGCCUAAACCUUUCAUUUGACUACCCUAUAGCCCAUAACCAUAGACCAUUUUCUUUUAAACCCAUGUGAUGGAAAUUCGAUUUUAGGAUUAUUUGUUGUGGUUUAUAUAAAAAUAAAAAAAAAAAAAAAAAGAGAAAAAAUUAGAAAAUAUUGCGAAAAAGAAUGAAAAAGCAGUGAGAAAAACACAAAAAGAUGUGCUAGUAGUUGUUGAAUAAAAGGCGAAAGUUUUUGCCCAUGUUGGAUGUUUAUAGUUUACUUUUGUUUAGGAUAGUCGUUGGUAAUAAAAAUCGAGUUUUCAUCACCAUAGCCACUUAAAAAUAUCCUAUUCCUACCCUUCGCCUAGCCCCGUUACAACCCUUCAAAGACCUUUUGACUUGUGCUUAGUAUUUGUGUUCAAUAGUGGAGAAUGAUUGAGUUGCAAGCCUAUGCGGGUACGUGUUCUAUUUGGUUUUGAGCGAUUAACUGUUGAAAAGCUAACACAUUACAUAUGUUAGCAUACUUUAAGCCGAGUGGAGAGCACAUUGUGAGGGAUAUGCACGAUUUGUUAGUUUUACGGGCGGGCUAAUCUUGGGUAACCAUUUGUGUAUCUAAAGCACGUCACCGUUAAAUACUUUGAAUUUUGUGAAGAGUUUGAACUUUUGUAUGACAUUAGACCUUAACCUUUGUCUCGGGAAUGGGAUGUAUAUUCUUUGUUUGACCCACGUGAAAGUGAAAAACAGAUUUGCUUGAGGGCAAGCAAAAGACAAGUGUGGGGAUGUGAUACGUGGGUGAAAACCGGUGCUUGUAAUUGUUUAACUUAACGUUUUUACGUGAAUUUUAGUUUCGAAUAGCCUACUUUUAAUCAAGAAUGUGUUUUGCAGGUUUGAUGAAGUUUAAGGAGCUUUUCGGGAGCUUUACGGGUCAUCGGAUUGAAAAAACGGAACAUCGGAACGCAUUACGGAUCAAACGGGAGCGAAACAAGCGGAAACUGGAAAUCAGGUUUUGAGAACCCGUCGCCGACGGGUACCAGGCCGUCGGCGACGCCCCUUGGAUAAGCCCGUAGGCACACUUUUCUCCGUCGGCAGACAUUUAGGCCGUCGGCCAAACAAGGGAUUUUGGGGACCCGUCGGCGACGGGGUGGGACCCGUCGGCGACGGGCUUUGGUUUCGUGAAACGCGAAUCUUGGGCAAUUGGGGGUUUAUUCCGAUUUUGAUUGGCCAAGACUCAUUCAUUACGGGAGUUACAACAUUCUUGGAGUUUGAAAAACAUUCUUGGAGCCAAUUAUCACUAUCUUUUCAUCACCAAUUCAUCCCCAAUCCAUAAUCCAUCCGCUGAAGAACUCGAAUCAACAUCCGGAAUCAAGAACAAAGGCAUCAUCAUCUUCUUGAUUUCAAACCCUAGUUCAUCAUCAUCACAACCAUUCUAUCACCUUCAAUCCAUCCAUCACCACCAACCGUUUCCAAACCCUAAUCAUUCCACCAUCCAUCCUCAAGCUCCAAGAUGAUCCACUUGAAGUCUUGUGCAUCCGUUGAUUGUACCGUUUACACCAUGAGCGGCUAAUUUCUUGGAGGUUUCACCCCGGUGUAGACUUUUGUAAGAUUUAGGGUUUACUAUGUUUUGUUGAUUGUUUUGUGACAACUUGAAUUGCGUGUGAAUCUUAGACAAUUGUCCUACGUUGGUAUUGAAUUUGCAAAUUGUCGAGUGAAUGAUUAAAUUUGACUUUGU